GUAUGUUUAGUUGGGGGAAAACAUUUUACGUUUUCCUGUGUUUGGUUCGCCUAAAACUCGAGGUCAACGUAUUUUAUUUUCCGGUCAACGGAAAACUUGAAGGAAAACACGGUAAAAUAACUUACCGUUUGGAAAAGGGUAAGUUGUUUUCCAUCGUUCUGCAACUCCCUUGCUCCACACAGAAAACAAAUCGUUCUCCCGUCCCUUGCUCCACACCGUAAAAUCGAUCGAUCCAGUGGCCUCCUUCUCACCGGCGAGGCGGACAGUCGUCUUCUCAGAAAUCAAAAACCGAGCUUUUAGCCCAGUUUUUCAAGGAUUUCGUCGACUUCGAGUCUGAUGGAGGCUCAAGAAUUCGGGGAAAUGAUGGAGCAUGUGGAGAGGUUAAUUUCGCGCUCGAUGGCUUAAAGAAAGGCCAGCCGGUGAGGAUCAGGAGAGCUAGUCUCUUGUCUUUGCUUUCGAUUUGCGCCACUCUCCCACAGAGGAGACUGCUGAGAACUCAUGGGCCGAGGAGAAGAUGCGGGUGGCUUAUGACAGGAAAUGUCGUUAAGUUGAAACGGCUAGACGAAAGGGGUGCUGAAGCAAACAAAAUUGAUUCAACCCGGCAUAUGAUCAAGAGCCUAUCCACAAAUAUAAGAAUUGCAAUUCAAGUUGUUGACAAGAUAUUUGUGACAACUAAUAAGAUCAGAGAUGAGGAGCUAUGGCCUCUGCUCAAUGAACUGAUUGAAGGGUUAAACAUAAUGUGGAAACGCAUGCCUGAAUGCCAUCGUAGUCAAUGUCAGGUGAUUACAGAAGCCAAAAGUUUAGGUUCUAUUGGACCCGGCAAAAAGCUUAGCGAUGAUCAUCUUAAUGCCACUUUGCAGCUCGAACAUUAACUUAUUAGUUGGACUGUAAGGUUCGCUAGUUGGAUAGGUGCCCAGAAUGGUUAUGUCAGGGCUUUGAACAUUGCAAAUGUGUUAUCAUGCAUUGUAGAAUAUCUGGUUUUGAAUUGUCAUGACCAGGUUGAUCUCAUGAGAUAUUUCACUUAGAUGUCAUGUUUUGUUUUUGUCAUAGUUGUUCCCAGCUUGACAGAGAACAGCUUCUAUGAGUACAGAUUCUGUGUGUUUUACAUCUUGACAGCUGAAAU
This is a long non-coding RNA of Hibiscus syriacus, 1123 nucleotides long. RefSeq lists it as uncharacterized. The record is from RefSeq and is a predicted model, not a curated record. The transcript has 4 exons. NCBI's taxonomy places the organism in Eukaryota, Viridiplantae, Streptophyta, Magnoliopsida, Malvales, Malvaceae.